AAGGCUUUAGCUUAAUUAAAGUAUCUGGGUUGCAUUCAGAUGAUGUGGGAUAAAGUCCUGCAAGUCUUA
RNAcentral lists this transfer RNA (69 nucleotides) under Thryssa vitrirostris (orangemouth anchovy). RNAcentral describes it as "tRNA-Ala". It matches the Rfam family "tRNA". From Rfam's summary of the family: Transfer RNA (tRNA) molecules are approximately 80 nucleotides in length. Their secondary structure includes four short double-helical elements and three loops (D, anti-codon, and T loops). Lineage: Eukaryota; Metazoa; Chordata; Actinopteri; Clupeiformes; Engraulidae. RNAcentral also lists the same sequence under 1 other name. The record is from RNAcentral.